ACGGGAGGCAGCAGUGGGGAAUAUUGCACAAUGGGGGAAACCCUGAUGCAGCGACGCCGCGUGAGUGAAGAAGUAUUUCGGUAUGUAAAGCUCUAUCAGUAGGGAAGAAAAUGACGGUACCUAACUAAGAAGCCCCGGCUAACUACGUGCCAGCAGCCGCGGUAAUACGUAGGGGGCAAGCGUUAUCCGGAUUUACUGGGUGUAAAGGGAGCGUAGACGGCAAAGCAAGUCUGAUGUGAAAUGCGGGGGCUUAACCCCUGAACUGCAUUGGAAACUGUUUAGCUAGAGUGCAGGAGAGGUAAGUGGAAUUCCUAGUGUAGCGGUGAAAUGCGUAGAUAUUAGGAGGAACACCGGUGGCGAAGGCGGCUUACUGGACUGUAACUGACGUUGAGGCUCGAAAGCGUGGGGAGCAAACAGGAUUAGAUACCCUGGUA
This 434-nucleotide ribosomal RNA is filed under the name uncultured Lachnospiraceae bacterium. Its description in RNAcentral is "partial 16S ribosomal RNA". It matches the Rfam family "Bacterial small subunit ribosomal RNA", at positions 341 to 792 of the family's 1533-position model. The record is from RNAcentral. Lineage: Bacteria; Bacillati; Bacillota; Clostridia; Lachnospirales; Lachnospiraceae.